Molecule: ribosomal RNA, 468 nt
Filed under: uncultured bacterium
Lineage: Bacteria
Description: partial 16S ribosomal RNA
Rfam family: Bacterial small subunit ribosomal RNA
Source: RNAcentral
GAUGAACGCUGGCGGCGUGCUUAACACAUGCAAGUCGAACGGUGAAGGCGGAGCUUGCUCUGCUGGAUCAGUGGCGAACGGGUGAGUAACACGUGAGCAAUCUGCCCCUGACUCUGGGAUAAGCGCUGGAAACGGCGUCUAAUACUGGAUACGAGCUGCAAAGGCAUCUUCAGCAGCUGGAAAGAAUUUCGGUCAGGGAUGAGCUCGCGGCCUAUCAGCUUGUUGGUGAGGUAAUGGCUCACCAAGGCGUCGACGGGUAGCCGGCCUGAGAGGGUGACCGGCCACACUGGGACUGAGACACGGCCCAGACUCCUACGGGAGGCAGCAGUGGGGAAUAUUGCACAAUGGGCGAAAGCCUGAUGCAGCAACGCCGCGUGAGGGACGACGGCCUUCGGGUUGUAAACCUCUUUUAGCAGGGAAGAAGCGAAAGUGACGGUACCUGCAGAAAAAGCGCCGGCUAACUACGUG